GCUGCGGGCGCGGGGCCGCGGCGGGUGGAGAGGACGCCAGCAGGAGAGGGGCGGGGGGCGGAGCUGGGACGGGAGUGCUCGCCCACUCGGGUCGCCUGGAUUAUUUAUGAAAAGGGCGCCAGGGAAAGGGCUGCGCCUGUAGAACCGAAGGGACUAAGGGUUCGAUUGGAAGGGAGCGUUAUUUGUAUCUCUCUCCACAUAAUGGAACGUUUAAAUGAUUAAAUCAAGUACCUUGCAGGAGAGGGUGGGGUUGGCCUUGAGGAUACACUCAAGGCUUCAGGACAUGCAGUCUGGAAGUGGGGAAUCAAGAGCACCCUGUCUCUGAGUACUGUCCUCAAUGAUAAGGCGCUGAGGUUCCCAACCUGGACCAAGAAGUACAUAUUCAGGUUCAAAAGAUAAACCAAAACAAAACCUGAGCUCCUCUUCUAGAAUGAGUGCCUGGUCCCAGAUCACCAGCUAAUAUUUAUGGAAAGCUUAUCAGAAAACAGAAGUGUCAGCAGAGGACUGUAAGUGCUAUGUGAUUGGACUAUGGUGGCCAUGGAAUUUCACCUGCCCGGCACAUAUUCUCUCAUCCUCUCCUCCUCUGCCUUGUUUGGGAGGGAGAAAUCAGAAGGAGUGGGAAUGCAGUUCAGAGAGCAGAGGAGAAGAGAAGAAAAGAAGGAAGAAGGAAGAGGACUGGGGGUGGGUGGGGGGGAGGACACCAAUGGGAAGAGGGACAGAUCAACUCUACACACAAAAGUAAAUCAAAACACCAAAAACAGGGGUCUAUGUAAGGAAGCCUCUGCCCAUGAAUUGCUCGUUGCAUAGCUGCAGGGAGGGUGUUUGGGGGCAUAGAGAAUGAAAACACCUGUAUUUUGGUGUAGGGAAAUUGUUUCUGUCAAUUCACACCGUCCACACGCCACCUCCCACCCCAACCCCACCACUACCAAAUUCCUCUAAAUAAAAAUAAUUAUGAGAUACAGGCCAACAAAAACCGUCAGCCUUAGGCUGUUAUUUAGGGAGAAUUGGAAAGCGUUUGGAUAUGCCCCUGUUGUUUAAUAAAUGACAACAAUGAUUA
This is a long non-coding RNA of Cercocebus atys (sooty mangabey), 1057 nucleotides long. RefSeq lists it as uncharacterized. The transcript is spliced from 4 exons. The record is from RefSeq and is a predicted model, not a curated record. NCBI's taxonomy places the organism in Eukaryota, Metazoa, Chordata, Mammalia, Primates, Cercopithecidae.